RNAcentral lists this ribosomal RNA (274 nucleotides) under uncultured bacterium. RNAcentral describes it as "partial 16S ribosomal RNA". It matches the Rfam family "Bacterial small subunit ribosomal RNA", at positions 523 to 796 of the family's 1533-position model. The record is from RNAcentral.
AUACGGAGGGUACAAGCGUUACUCGGAAUCACUGGGCGUAAAGCGCGCGCAGGCGGUCUUUUAAGUUGGAUGUGAAAGCCUACAGCUCAACUGUAGAACUGCAUCCAAAACUAUUAGACUAGAGUCUGGGAGGGGAAGAUGGAAUUAGUUGUGUAGGGGUAAAAUCCGUAGAGAUAACUAUGAAUACCAAAAGCGAAGGCGAUCUUCUGGAACAGUACUGACGCUCAGGCGCGAAAGCGUGGGGAGCAAACAGGAUUAGAAACCCCAGUAGUCC